Nycticebus coucang (slow loris) is the source of this 773-nucleotide RNA transcript. It is a transcript of the gene named 60S ribosomal protein L7-like, with no coding region annotated. The record is from RefSeq and is a predicted model, not a curated record. Lineage: Eukaryota; Metazoa; Chordata; Mammalia; Primates; Lorisidae. The transcript is spliced from 2 exons.
AUGAGGGAGACCCGCACACAAAGGAAUCCGCAGGAAGAUGCUGCAGGAUCCUCAGCACCAUUGCGAGGUAAAGAUACGAAAAAGAAGUAUGUCCAAAAAGUGCUUUGAAAAGCGAGGAAGCCUAUCUAUGAAGAAGCUGAGCACUAUCAUAAGGAGCACAGGCAGACGCACAGAGCUGAGAUUCGGACAGCCGGGAUGGCAGGAGAAGCUGGCAACCUCCAUGUACCUGCAGAACCCAAACUGGUGUUUGUCAUCAGGAUCAGAGGCAUCAAAGGUCCGUAAGGUGUUGCAGCUUCCUCGCCUUGGCCAGAUCUUCAGUGGAAGUUUUGUUAAGCUCAACAAGGCUUCCAUCAACAUGCUGAGGAUUGUAGAACCGUAUAUUGCAUGGGGGUACCCAAAUCUCAAGUCAGUCAAUGAGCUAAUCUACAAGCGCGGUUAUGGCAAAAUCACUAAGAAACGAAUUGCGUUAACUGAUAACAGUUUGAUUGCUCUAUCUCUUGGUAAAUACGGCAUCAUCUGCAUGGAGGAUCUGAUUCAUGAGAUCUAUACUGUUGGAAAACGCUUCAAAGAAGCAAACAACUUCUUGUGGCCCUUCAAGUUAUCAUCUCCAUGGGGGGGAAAUGAAGAAAAAGACAACUCACUUUGUAGAAGGGGGAGAUGCUAGUAACAGGGAAGACCACAUCUACAGGCUUAUUAGAAGAAAGAACUAAAGUAUCUGCCCUGAUUGUUUUUGUAAUCUGGUCAGUUAAUAAAUAGUGACUGCUUUCAAAUUG